Molecule: ribosomal RNA, 443 nt
Filed under: uncultured bacterium
Lineage: Bacteria
Description: bacterial SSU rRNA
Rfam family: Bacterial small subunit ribosomal RNA
Source: RNAcentral
CCAGACUCCUACGGGAGGCAGCAGUGGGGGAUAUUGCACAAUGGGGGGAACCCUGAUGCAGCGACGCCGCGUGGGUGAAGAAGCGCCUCGGCGCGUAAAGCCCUGUCAGCAGGGAAGAAAAUGACGGUACCUGAAGAAGAAGCACCGGCUAACUCCGUGCCAGCAGCCGCGGUAAUACGGAGGAUGCGAGCGUUAUCCGGAUUUAUUGGGUUUAAAGGGUGCGUAGGCGGACAGUCAAGUCAGCGGUAAAAAUGCGGUGCUCAACGCCGUACAGCCGUUGAAACUGGCAGUCUUGAGUGGGCGAGAAGUAUGCGGAAUGCGUGGUGUAGCGGUGAAAUGCAUAGAUAUCACGCAGAACUCCGAUUGCGAAGGCAGCAUACCGGCGCCCGACUGACGCUGAGGCACGAAAGCGUGGGUAUCGAACAGGAUUAGAUACCCCGGUA